UAUAUACACAUCUGCUGGCUGGUCUUUACUUUUCAUAUUGAAGAUUUUUUCUUUCUCUCUCUUUCCUCUCUCCCUCUCCUCUCUCUACCCACACCACCAGCCCACUGCCCCACCAGCCCAGACCCUCAACCCACCGCCUUCCGACCACCGCCAGUCCAUCGUCGGCGGCGCAGCCCUUGCAUUUUUAGAGUAAAAUAUAUAUAACAAGCAUCUGCAAUGGGUUCUGGAUACUGGCUUAAAAAUGUAAUCAGUUUGAGAAAAGCUAAGGAUGGCAGAUCGAAAAGAUUAAAGAGACAGGGAACGUCUAUUGGAAGAAAGGGGGAUGCCCACUCUCAGAAAGAGCCUACAAGAAGAAAAAGUGGUGCC
This is a long non-coding RNA of Lycium barbarum (goji berry), 366 nucleotides long. RefSeq lists it as uncharacterized. The record is from RefSeq and is a predicted model, not a curated record. NCBI's taxonomy places the organism in Eukaryota, Viridiplantae, Streptophyta, Magnoliopsida, Solanales, Solanaceae. The transcript has 3 exons.